UGUAGCAACGUUAACGCUUUUUUUUUGGAAUCUAACGUAUAAAUUUAACAGUUAGCUGCCACUAAAAAAGCUAUUACAUGUUACAAUAAUCGUCAUCAACAAAUAAUAAUACUGAUCGUUUUUAUAAAUUAAACACACUGAAUCAUAUUUUAGCAUAGACACUAUUCAAUAGUUGUGGUAUACACCAUACACUAUCCAAAAAUAAUGAAUUAUUUUCAACCGGGAAUAUGCGGCAAAUAGAUCAUGCGUUUCACGUCUAAAAACUUACUACGAUUUGUACUGGUUCCAUGUGUUUACGUUCAUAACUGGAUUAUUGAGUGUCAUAUUUAUCAUAUUGCUACAGGGAAAAAAUGUUUACAGAUAUUAUAAUUAAAAAUUUAGUUUGUAAUGUAGCGGCGACACCGUCUACUAGGUACCUAUAUCGGUGCUUGAGAAAAUUCUAUACUGGUUUGGAAGGGCGAGUUCGAUGAAGUUCUUGUGACGCGACGUUGUGCGUAAUACGAUAUAUAUAUAUAUAUAUAAUGCAUCGGCGGCUGCCUAGCUAAAACCAACUAGUCUUUCCGCAACAUACAACGCGCAUCUACACUUCAAUACUUCGUAUAUUGUUCUGUUAUUUUCCUUUUUAUACACGUUCGUAUUAUUCUG
Molecule: long non-coding RNA, 645 nt
Organism: Melanaphis sacchari
Lineage: Eukaryota; Metazoa; Arthropoda; Insecta; Hemiptera; Aphididae
Exons: 3
Source: RefSeq, a predicted model, not a curated record